GAACUUAAGCAUAUCAAUAAGCGGAGGAAAAGAAACCAACAGGGAUUGCCUCAGUAACGGCGAGUGAAGCGGCAACAGCUCAAAUUUGAAAUCUGGCCGCAAGGUCCGAGUUGUAAUUUGUAGAGGAUGCUUUUGGCGAGGUGCCUUCCGAGUUCCCUGGAACGGGACGCCAUAGAGGGUGAGAGCCCCGUACGGUAGGACCACCAAGCCUCUGUAAAGCUCCUUCGACGAGUCGAGUAGUUUGGGAAUGCUGCUCUAAAUGGGAGGUGUACGUCUUCUAAAGCUAAAUACCGGCCAGAGACCGAUAGCGCACAAGUAGAGUGAUCGAAAGAUGAAAAGCACUUUGAAAAGAGGGUUAAAAAGUACGUGAAAUUGUUGAAAGGGAAGCAUUCAUGACCAGACUUGGGCUUGGUUGAACAUCCGGCGUUCUCGCCGGUGCACUCUGCCAGUCCAGGCCAGCAUCAGUUUGCCCCGGGGGAUAAAGGCGGCGGGAAUGUGGCUCCCUUCGGGGAGUGUUAUAGCCCGUCGUGUAAUGCCCUGGGGCGGACUGAGGAACGCGCUUCGGCACGGAUGCUGGCGUAAUGGUCAUCAAUGACCCGUCUUGAAACACGGACCAAGGAGUCGUCUUCGCAUGCGAGUGUUCGGGUGUCAAACCCCUACGCGUAAUGAAAGUGAACGUAGGUGAGAGCUUCGGCGCAUCACCGACCGAUCCUGAUGUUCUCGGAUGGAUUUGAGUAAGAGCAUACGGGGCCGGACCCGAAA
RNAcentral lists this ribosomal RNA (762 nucleotides) under uncultured fungus. RNAcentral's name for it is "eukaryotic LSU rRNA". It matches the Rfam family "Eukaryotic large subunit ribosomal RNA", at positions 30 to 821 of the family's 3401-position model. Lineage: Eukaryota; Fungi. The record is from RNAcentral.